UUCCUGGUGGCUCAAAUGGUAAAUAAUCUGCCUGCAAUGCAGGAAACUUGGGUUCAAUUCCUGGUCAGGAAG
This 72-nucleotide transfer RNA is filed under the name Bos taurus (domestic cattle). It matches the Rfam family "tRNA". From Rfam's summary of the family: Transfer RNA (tRNA) molecules are approximately 80 nucleotides in length. Their secondary structure includes four short double-helical elements and three loops (D, anti-codon, and T loops). RNAcentral also lists the same sequence under 3 other names. Lineage: Eukaryota; Metazoa; Chordata; Mammalia; Artiodactyla; Bovidae. The record is from Rfam by way of RNAcentral.